This 39-nucleotide transfer RNA is filed under the name Ehretia cortesia. RNAcentral describes it as "partial tRNA-Leu". Lineage: Eukaryota; Viridiplantae; Streptophyta; Magnoliopsida; Boraginales; Ehretiaceae. The record is from RNAcentral.
AAUCCGUCGACUUUAAAAUCGUGAGGGUUCAAGUCCCUC